ACGCACGCUGGCGGCGUGCUUAACCCAUGCAAGUCGAACGGAAAGGCCCCUUUGGGGGUACUCGAGUGGCGAACGGGUGAGUAACACGUGAGUAACCUGCCCUUGACUUCGGGAUAACUUCAGGAAACUGGGGCUAAUACCGGAUAGGAAUCCUUGCUGCAUGGUGGGGGUUGGAAAGCUUCGGCGGUUUUGGAUGGACUCGCGGCUUAUCAGCUUGUUGGUGGGGUAGUGGCUUACCAAGGCUUUGACGGGUAGCCGGCCUGAGAGGGCGACCGGCCACAUUGGGACUGAGAUACGGCCCAGACUCCUACGGGAGGCAGCAGUGGGGAAUAUUGCACAAUGGGCGGAAGCCUGAUGCAGCAACGCCGCGUGCGGGAUGACGGCCUUCGGGUUGUAAACCGCUUUCAGCAGGGGCGAAGCUUGUGGUGACGGUACCUGCAGAAGAAGCACCGGCUAACUACGUG
This 464-nucleotide ribosomal RNA is filed under the name uncultured bacterium. Its description in RNAcentral is "partial 16S ribosomal RNA". It matches the Rfam family "Bacterial small subunit ribosomal RNA", at positions 29 to 507 of the family's 1533-position model. The record is from RNAcentral.